GACGAACGCUGGCGGCGUGCUUAACACAUGCAAGUCGAACGGAAAGGCCCUGCUUUUGUGGGGUGCUCGAGUGGCGAACGGGUGAGUAACACGUGAGUAACCUGCCCUUGACUUUGGGAUAACUUCAGGAAACUGGGGCUAAAACCGGAUAGGAGCUCCUGCUGCAUGGUGGGGGUUGGAAAGUUUCGGCGGUUGGGGAUGGACUCGCGGCUUAUCAGCUUGUUGGUGGGGUAGUGGCUUACCAAGGCUUUGACGGGUAGCCGGCCUGAGAGGGUGACCGGCCACAUUGGGACUGGGAUACGGCCCAGACUCCUACGGGAGGCGGCAGUGGGGAAUAUUGCACAAUGGGCGGAAGCCUGAUGCAGCAACGCCGCGUGCGGGAUGACGGCCUUCGGGUUGUAAACCGCUUUCGCUUGUGACGAAGCGUGAGUGACGGUAAUGGGUAAAGAAGCACCGGCUAACUACGUG
RNAcentral lists this ribosomal RNA (468 nucleotides) under uncultured bacterium. Its description in RNAcentral is "partial 16S ribosomal RNA". It matches the Rfam family "Bacterial small subunit ribosomal RNA", at positions 28 to 507 of the family's 1533-position model. The record is from RNAcentral.